AUUGAACGCUGGCGGCAUGCUUUACACAUGCAAGUCGAACGGCAGCGCGGGCUUCGGCCUGGCGGCGAGUGGCGAACGGGUGAGUAAUACAUCGGAACGUGCCCAGUAGUGGGGGAUAGCUCGGCGAAAGCCGGAUUAAUACCGCAUACGACCUGAGGGUGAAAGCGGGGGAUCUUCGGACCUCGCGCUAUUGGAGCGGCCGAUGGCAGAUUAGCUAGUUGGUGGGGUAAAGGCCUACCAAGGCGACGAUCUGUAGCUGGUCUGAGAGGACGGCCAGCCACACUGGGACUGAGACACGGCCCAGACUCCUACGGGAGGCAGCAGUGGGGAAUGUUGGACAAUGGGCGAAAGCCUGAUCCAGCAAUGCCGCGUGUGUGAUGAAGGCCUUCGGGUUGUAAAGCACUUUUGGCGGGAACGAAAAGGACUGUGCCAAUACCACGGUUCGAUGACGGUACCCGCAGAAUAAGCACCGGCUAACUACGUG
This 484-nucleotide ribosomal RNA is filed under the name uncultured bacterium. RNAcentral's name for it is "partial 16S ribosomal RNA". It matches the Rfam family "Bacterial small subunit ribosomal RNA", at positions 29 to 507 of the family's 1533-position model. The record is from RNAcentral.